RNAcentral lists this ribosomal RNA (1462 nucleotides) under Lacticaseibacillus casei. RNAcentral's name for it is "bacterial SSU rRNA". It matches the Rfam family "Bacterial small subunit ribosomal RNA". The record is from RNAcentral. Lineage: Bacteria; Bacillati; Bacillota; Bacilli; Lactobacillales; Lactobacillaceae.
GAACGCUGGCGGCGUGCCUAAUACAUGCAAGUCGAACGAGUUCUCGUUGAUGAUCGGUGCUUGCACCGAGAUUCAACAUGGAACGAGUGGCGGACGGGUGAGUAACACGUGGGUAACCUGCCCUUAAGUGGGGGAUAACAUUUGGAAACAGAUGCUAAUACCGCAUAGAUCCAAGAACCGCAUGGUUCUUGGCUGAAAGAUGGCGUAAGCUAUCGCUUUUGGAUGGACCCGCGGCGUAUUAGCUAGUUGGUGAGGUAAUGGCUCACCAAGGCGAUGAUACGUAGCCGAACUGAGAGGUUGAUCGGCCACAUUGGGACUGAGACACGGCCCAAACUCCUACGGGAGGCAGCAGUAGGGAAUCUUCCACAAUGGACGCAAGUCUGAUGGAGCAACGCCGCGUGAGUGAAGAAGGCUUUCGGGUCGUAAAACUCUGUUGUUGGAGAAGAAUGGUCGGCAGAGUAACUGUUGUCGGCGUGACGGUAUCCAACCAGAAAGCCACGGCUAACUACGUGCCAGCAGCCGCGGUAAUACGUAGGUGGCAAGCGUUAUCCGGAUUUAUUGGGCGUAAAGCGAGCGCAGGCGGUUUUUUAAGUCUGAUGUGAAAGCCCUCGGCUUAACCGAGGAAGCGCAUCGGAAACUGGGAAACUUGAGUGCAGAAGAGGACAGUGGAACUCCAUGUGUAGCGGUGAAAUGCGUAGAUAUAUGGAAGAACACCAGUGGCGAAGGCGGCUGUCUGGUCUGUAACUGACGCUGAGGCUCGAAAGCAUGGGUAGCGAACAGGAUUAGAUACCCUGGUAGUCCAUGCCGUAAACGAUGAAUGCUAGGUGUUGGAGGGUUUCCGCCCUUCAGUGCCGCAGCUAACGCAUUAAGCAUUCCGCCUGGGGAGUACGACCGCAAGGUUGAAACUCAAAGGAAUUGACGGGGGCCCGCACAAGCGGUGGAGCAUGUGGUUUAAUUCGAAGCAACGCGAAGAACCUUACCAGGUCUUGACAUCUUUUGAUCACCUGAGAGAUCAGGUUUCCCCUUCGGGGGCAAAAUGACAGGUGGUGCAUGGUUGUCGUCAGCUCGUGUCGUGAGAUGUUGGGUUAAGUCCCGCAACGAGCGCAACCCUUAUGACUAGUUGCCAGCAUUUAGUUGGGCACUCUAGUAAGACUGCCGGUGACAAACCGGAGGAAGGUGGGGAUGACGUCAAAUCAUCAUGCCCCUUAUGACCUGGGCUACACACGUGCUACAAUGGAUGGUACAACGAGUUGCGAGACCGCGAGGUCAAGCUAAUCUCUUAAAGCCAUUCUCAGUUCGGACUGUAGGCUGCAACUCGCCUACACGAAGUCGGAAUCGCUAGUAAUCGCGGAUCAGCACGCCGCGGUGAAUACGUUCCCGGGCCUUGUACACACCGCCCGUCACACCAUGAGAGUUUGUAACACCCGAAGCCGGUGGCGUAACCCUUUUAGGGAGCGAGCCG